UACGUAGGCAGCAAGCGUUGUUCGGAGUUACUGGGCGUAAAGAGUGCGUAGGUGGUGCCCUAAGUCUGUUGUGAAAUCUCCCGGCUUAACUGGGAGGGUGCGGUGGAAACUGGGGUGCUUGAGUGUGGGAGAGGUAAGCGGAAUUCCUGGUGUAGCGGUGAAAUGCGUAGAUAUCAGGAGGAACACCGGUGGCGAAGGCGGCAUCCUGGACCAACACUGACGCUGAGUGAGCGAAAGCCAGGGGAGCAAACGGG
This 254-nucleotide ribosomal RNA is filed under the name uncultured bacterium. RNAcentral's name for it is "partial 16S ribosomal RNA". It matches the Rfam family "Bacterial small subunit ribosomal RNA", at positions 524 to 776 of the family's 1533-position model. The record is from RNAcentral.